GUGAGGAAUAUUGGUCAAUGGGUGGGAGCCUGAACCAGCCAAGUCGCGUGAAGGAAGAAGGAUCUAUGGUUCGUAAACUUCUUUUGCAGGGGAAUAAAGUGCAGGACGUGUCCUGUUUUGUAUGUACCCUGAGAAUAAGGAUCGGCUAACUCCGUGCCAGCAGCCGCGGUAAUACGGAGGAUCCGAGCGUUAUCCGGAUUUAUUGGGUUUAAAGGGUGCGUAGGUGGUUUGAUAAGUCAGCGGUGAAAGUUUGCAGCUUAACUGUAAAAAUGCCGUUGAAACUGUCGGACUUGAGUGUAAAUGAGGUAGGCGGAAUGCGUGGUGUAGCGGUGAAAUGCAUAGAUAUCACGCAGAACUCCGAUUGCGAAGGCAGCUUACUAAGCUACAACUGACACUGAAGCACGAAAGCGUGGGGAUCAAACAGGAUUAGAUACCCCUGUAGUCC
RNAcentral lists this ribosomal RNA (445 nucleotides) under uncultured bacterium. Its description in RNAcentral is "partial 16S ribosomal RNA". It matches the Rfam family "Bacterial small subunit ribosomal RNA", at positions 354 to 796 of the family's 1533-position model. The record is from RNAcentral.